Long non-coding RNA from Strongylocentrotus purpuratus (purple sea urchin), 648 nucleotides. RefSeq lists it as uncharacterized. Lineage: Eukaryota; Metazoa; Echinodermata; Echinoidea; Camarodonta; Strongylocentrotidae. The record is from RefSeq and is a predicted model, not a curated record. The transcript is spliced from 4 exons.
UAAUUCCUUUCCAGAAGGACCCAAACAAAAGAUCAGAUUUUCUGAUUCCAUCAUUGAAGGUGAUGGUACACCUUUCUUUCUGCGAGGUCGAUGGGAGUAUUCAUGUAUGUUUGGGCGAGACAAGCAUGCAGCCAGGAUCAAGAAAGCAGUAGAGGAGGAAAAAAGACAACAUAAGGCAACAAAGGGAGGCUCCGACAAGCCACAUUGAAAGAGUGCAGCAGAAAGAAGUUUGCAGGUGGCAGAAAGCACACAACAAGCAUCAUAAUUCCUGAAUUGGAGGGGCUCAAGAUUCAACCGCUUCCUUCACUAAAUGACGACAAUCGUUAUUCAGUAUGCGGGGAGACCCUUGAGAUUAGAGAUUUCAAGUCCUUGCAGUUCCCUAAUUGGAUAAAUGACAAGGUAAUUUAUCUAUCAAAAGAUGUUAUUAUUAUCUUACUAUAACCAAAUAUGCAUUUGUAUCAUUUGUAAUCAAUAUAAUGCUGAAGGCUCAAUGAAGAAAGAAAUGUUGAGCAUGAUUUGCAUUUCAAUGAGUAUAAAUGGUUUAUUGUAACAUUUUCAUAUAUUUUAGAUUUCUGUACAGUUUUGUCAAUCACAUUUCUUGGGGAAGGUGGAAAUCAUAUGUAUUGUCUCAUCUGUGUAGCAGGAGUG